ACACUGGUGAGGAGUCCCAAAAUAGGACGAAACGGCCGUCCAGUGC
Molecule: non-coding RNA, 46 nt
Filed under: Schistosoma mansoni
Lineage: Eukaryota; Metazoa; Platyhelminthes; Trematoda; Strigeidida; Schistosomatidae
Source: RNAcentral